AAGCUCGUAGUUGAAUUUCGGGGUUAGUAGGUUGGUCAUGCCUCUGGUAUGUACUGGUCUCACUGAUUCCUCCUUCCUUAUGAACCGUAAUGCCAUUAAUUUGGUGUUGCGGGGGAAUUUGGACUGUUACUUUGAAAAAACUUAGAGUGUUUAAAGCAAGCUAACGCUUGAAUACAUUAGCAUGGAAUAAUGAAAUAGGACGUUCGAUCUUAUUUUGUUUGGUUUUCUAGGUAUUGUACGUAAUGAUUAAUAGGAUAGUGGU
Molecule: ribosomal RNA, 262 nt
Filed under: uncultured Glomus
Lineage: Eukaryota; Fungi; Glomeromycota; Glomeromycetes; Glomerales; Glomeraceae
Description: partial 18S ribosomal RNA
Rfam family: Eukaryotic small subunit ribosomal RNA
Source: RNAcentral